AACCUUCUGUAUCCGUGCUGAGAUUUCGUCACACACGAAAUCACAAGGGUUGGUGGGACUCACAAGAUAAGUAAAGCU
Molecule: microRNA precursor, 78 nt
Filed under: Schistosoma haematobium
Lineage: Eukaryota; Metazoa; Platyhelminthes; Trematoda; Strigeidida; Schistosomatidae
Description: mir-3492 microRNA precursor family
Rfam family: mir-3492 microRNA precursor family
Source: Rfam by way of RNAcentral